UUCAAUGUUUCUGUUCUCUCUAUGUCUGUUUUGGUGAAGGAGAAUAAUGUUUUUAAUGCUUCAAAUGUAUGUUUACAUGGUGCAGUGGUUCGAGAAGGCCAGAAAGAUGUGGGUGAAGGGAUGGUCAUCAAGAAAUGAGGCUAUGAUAAAGCUGGCUGAAGACUUCUUUAAUAUACUGAUGAUGACAGGAUUGUCCCAGACUCCCAACCGGUGAGAAAGAAAAGCUCAUAGUGAGUGUUUUUCUACUGACAUUUCACGUACAGUUUCUCAACUGUUUAACAUUGUGUCCAUUGUAGAGAGGAUUCUGUCUGCUCAGUGUUCACAACAUAAUGUUUGGUUGUUUGUCUAUGUUUUAUGUGUAACUGAUCAGUUCACCAGCUCCCUGGAGCUUGAAGUCUAGUAAAAGGAAAAUCUCGGUAUCUGGAUCACUGCUGACUUGGCAAAAAGACUGCUCUUAAAACAACACUCUAUCAGAUGGUAGUUCUCAUCACCCUCCUCAGCGUCUGUCCGCGGCACAGUGCCCUGACCCAGAAGCAGCUGCACACACAGCAAAAAACCUGCUCAAUAAGAGCUGCUGUCCAUCCUCCACUGUAAGUCAUUUAGAAAGAAAGAAGCAUUUGCAAUGUCAAAACAAUACAUCUACUGUAGUUUAAAAUGUGAUGGGUUUUUUUCUGCACAUUGUGUUACAGAAGAAAACUGGUGUCAAGAGUUCAAGCUUGCACAAAGCACAUGACAUAUCCAAGAAGGAGUUCCAGCGGCUUGAAUAUUGCCUUUUUUUCCCUUCACUCACUGAAUAACUGAAUAUUCUGUUUGAAAAUUGCUUUUAUAAUUCACUGAAUUUACUGUCUCCUCAGGGAUAUUUAUGCAUUUACGGAAGACAGGCAUAACAUUAGUGUGGUAUGGACAUUAAUAGCUCUAAAUGCAAACUAAAUAAACACUAUAAUAUUAAAAA
Carassius carassius (crucian carp) is the source of this 952-nucleotide long non-coding RNA. RefSeq lists it as uncharacterized. The record is from RefSeq and is a predicted model, not a curated record. The transcript has 4 exons. NCBI's taxonomy places the organism in Eukaryota, Metazoa, Chordata, Actinopteri, Cypriniformes, Cyprinidae.